CUGCCAGUGAUAAACUGGAGGAAGGUGGGGAUGACGUCAAGUCAUCAUGGCCCUUACGACCAGGGCUACACACGUGCUACAAUGGCAUAUACAAAGAGAAGCGACCUCGCGAGAGCAAGCGGACCUCAUAAAGUAUGUCGUAGUCCGGAUUGGAGUCUGCAACUCGACUCCAUGAAGUCGGAAUCGCUAGUAAUCGUAGAUCAGAAUGCUACGGUGAAUACGUUCCCGGGCCUUGUACACACCGCCCGUCACACCAUGGGAGUGGGUUGCAAAAGAAGUAGGUAGCUUAACCUUCGGGAGGGCGCUUACCACUUUGUGAUUCAUGACUGGGGUGAAGUCGUAACAAGGUAACCGUAGGG
RNAcentral lists this ribosomal RNA (359 nucleotides) under Klebsiella pneumoniae. RNAcentral's name for it is "bacterial SSU rRNA". It matches the Rfam family "Bacterial small subunit ribosomal RNA", at positions 1149 to 1507 of the family's 1533-position model. Lineage: Bacteria; Pseudomonadati; Pseudomonadota; Gammaproteobacteria; Enterobacterales; Enterobacteriaceae. The record is from RNAcentral.